RNAcentral lists this small RNA (126 nucleotides) under Marmota monax (woodchuck). The record is from RNAcentral. Lineage: Eukaryota; Metazoa; Chordata; Mammalia; Rodentia; Sciuridae.
GCCUGGUGCGGCGGUGCACACCUGUAAUUCCAGCAGCUGGGGAGGCUGAGACAGGAGAAUCGCAAGUUCAAAGCCAGCCUCAGCAACUAUCAAGGCACUAAGCAACUCAGUGAGAUCCUGUCUCUA